Molecule: ribosomal RNA, 484 nt
Filed under: uncultured Cellulosimicrobium sp.
Lineage: Bacteria; Bacillati; Actinomycetota; Actinomycetes; Micrococcales; Promicromonosporaceae
Description: partial 16S ribosomal RNA
Source: RNAcentral
CACGUAGUUAGCCGGCGCUUCUUCUGCAGGUACCGUCACUUGCGCUUCUUCCCUGCUGAAAGAGGUUUACAACCCGAAGGCCUUCAUCCCUCACGCGGCGUCGCUGCAUCAGGCUUGCGCCCAUUGUGCAAUAUUCCCCACUGCUGCCUCCCGUAGGAGUCUGGGCCGUGUCUCAGUCCCAGUGUGGCCGGUCGCCCUCUCAGGCCGGCUACCCGUCGUCGCCUUGGUAGGCCAUCACCCCACCAACAAGCUGAUAGGCCGCGAGCCCAUCCCUGACCGAAAAACUUUCCAACCACUCCCAUGCGAAGGUAGCUCAUAUCCGGUAUUAGCCCCGGUUUCCCGGAGUUAUCCCGAAGUCAAGGGCAGGUUACUCACGUGUUACUCACCCGUUCGCCACUAAUCCACCAGCAAGCUGGGCUUCAUCGUUCGACUUGCAUGUGUUAAGCACGCCGCCAGCGUUCGUCCUGAGCCAGGAUCAAACUCU